GUGUCUAAAGUGAGUUUUGUCUAAACUAAAGGUGUUGAUGUGUUUGCACUUCAGAAAUAAAAGUUUCCAUGGCUCACAAAAACCAGUAUAAACCGGUUCUGCUCAUCUGUCUGUCCCUGUCCAUAGGCUCACUGACUUGAAGAGAGAGGACACUUGGCUUCCAUGUACGAGAAACACAAGUCCCAGAUUGAAUCACUCUAUCAGAAGAUUCCCUCAGAUUCAGAUCCAUCAGCAACCACUGACAACAUGGAGGACUCUUUCCCUGAGCGUUUCCUGUCCUCUCUCGAUGGAGUUCUUCUCUUCAGUUAUUAACUCUCGAAAACAGCAGCACAACAUGCCAGACUGUUUGACAAGUCUGUGAUUGAAUAAAUGGAAAUGGAAUCUCA
Labrus mixtus (cuckoo wrasse) is the source of this 386-nucleotide long non-coding RNA. RefSeq lists it as uncharacterized. The transcript is spliced from 2 exons. NCBI's taxonomy places the organism in Eukaryota, Metazoa, Chordata, Actinopteri, Labriformes, Labridae. The record is from RefSeq and is a predicted model, not a curated record.